AAACUUUCAGCAACGGAUCUCUUGGUUCUGGCAUCGAUGAAGAACGCAGCGAAAUGCGAUAAGUAAUGUGAAUUGCAGAAUUCAGUGAAUCAUCGAAUCUUUGAACGCACAUUGCGCCCGCCAGUAUUCU
RNAcentral lists this ribosomal RNA (130 nucleotides) under Emericellopsis sp. RNAcentral describes it as "5.8S ribosomal RNA". It matches the Rfam family "5.8S ribosomal RNA", at positions 1 to 129 of the family's 154-position model. Rfam says of the family: 5.8S ribosomal RNA (5.8S rRNA) is a component of the large subunit of the eukaryotic ribosome. It is transcribed by RNA polymerase I as part of the 45S precursor that also contains 18S and 28S rRNA. Functionally, it is thought that 5.8S rRNA may be involved in ribosome translocation. The record is from RNAcentral. Lineage: Eukaryota; Fungi; Ascomycota; Sordariomycetes; Hypocreales; Bionectriaceae.